Molecule: ribosomal RNA, 546 nt
Filed under: uncultured bacterium
Lineage: Bacteria
Description: bacterial SSU rRNA
Rfam family: Bacterial small subunit ribosomal RNA
Source: RNAcentral
UGGGGAAUAUUGGACAAUGGGCGCAAGCCUGAUCCAGCCAUGCCGCGUGCAGGAUGAAGGCCUUCGGGUUGUAAACUGCUUUUGUACGGAACGAAAAGGCUCUUUCUAAUAAAGAGGGCACAUGACGGUACCGUAAGAAUAAGCACCGGCUAACUACGUGCCAGCAGCCGCGGUAAUACGUAGGGUGCAAGCGUUAAUCGGAAUUACUGGGCGUAAAGCGUGCGCAGGCGGUGAUGUAAGACAGUUGUGAAAUCCCCGGGCUCAACCUGGGAACUGCAUCUGUGACUGCAUCGCUGGAGUGCGGCAGAGGGGGAUGGAAUUCCGCGUGUAGCAGUGAAAUGCGUAGAUAUGCGGAGGAGCACCGAUGGCGAAGGCAAUCCCCUGGGCCUGCACUGACGCUCAUGCACGAAAGCGUGGGGAGCAAACAGGAUUAGAUACCCUGGUAGUCCACGCCCUAAACGAUGUCAACUGGUUGUUGGGUCUUCACUGACUCAGUAACGAAGCUGACGCGUGAAGUUGACCGCCUGGGGAGUACGGCCGCAAGGU